This 252-nucleotide ribosomal RNA is filed under the name uncultured bacterium. Its description in RNAcentral is "partial 16S ribosomal RNA". It matches the Rfam family "Bacterial small subunit ribosomal RNA", at positions 524 to 775 of the family's 1533-position model. The record is from RNAcentral.
UACGAAGGGGGCUAGCGUUGCUCGGAAUCACUGGGCGUAAAGGGUGCGUAGGCGGGUCUUUAAGUCAGGGGUGAAAUCCUGGAGCUCAACUCCAGAACUGCCUUUGAUACUGAAGAUCUUGAGUUCGGGAGAGGUGAGUGGAACUGCGAGUGUAGAGGUGAAAUUCGUAGAUAUUCGCAAGAACACCAGUGGCGAAGGCGGCUCACUGGCCCGAUACUGACGCUGAGGCACGAAAGCGUGGGGAGCAACAGG